RNAcentral lists this ribosomal RNA (238 nucleotides) under uncultured bacterium. Its description in RNAcentral is "partial 16S ribosomal RNA". It matches the Rfam family "Bacterial small subunit ribosomal RNA", at positions 95 to 334 of the family's 1533-position model. The record is from RNAcentral.
CCGGCGCACGGUGAGUAACGCGUAUGCAACUUACCUAUCAGAGGGGAUAACCCGGCGAAAGUCGGACUAAUACCGCAUAAAGCAGGGAUCCCGCAUGGGAAUAUUUGCUAAAGAUUCAUCGCUGAUAGAUAGGCAUGCGUUCCAUUAGGCAGUUGGCGGGGUAACGGCCCACCAAACCGACGAUGGAUAGGGGUUCUGAGAGGAAGGUCCCCCACAUUGGUACUGAGACACGGACCAA